Molecule: long non-coding RNA, 5094 nt
Filed under: Musa acuminata (dwarf banana)
Lineage: Eukaryota; Viridiplantae; Streptophyta; Magnoliopsida; Zingiberales; Musaceae
Description: long non-coding RNA (MACU_LNC005045)
Source: RNAcentral
UCUCAUGGCUGUAGUGGCAAUGCAAAUGAUGAUCUACUAUCUGCAAAGGAGAAGAACAAGUCUGGGAAAUUGGAGGACGUUUCCAAAGUUGUGGUGGUGGAAAAGAAGAAGUCGUCAUUCAGUCGAUCGAGCUCUUCCCUGUCAAAACAAUUGACUAGUAGUGAUGUGGAGAAGAAGGAAGUCCACCAUGUGAGGUCAAGAUCAUUGAAUCUGAGGUCAGUCCCUUCAUCUCCAUCGGACUGUUUCCCGUCACCUGUGUCCGAGAAGCUCCACUCUGAAGUUACGCAGCAGGCAAAGGUUAAUGUGCCAGAGAAGACUUCACCUUCAAGGUUUGGAUUGUUGGGGAGGGCAGCUUCUGUUUUAAAAGCAACCACAGCUGGUAGGAAAUCAUCUGCCGGGACUUUGAUUGGAAAUUUGGUUCCAGCUUUCAAGUCAGGAUCAAAGGUUCUGAGGAAGAGCUGGGAAGAGAACAUGGAGUUAAAGGAUAGGGAUAAUUCUACUCCUAGGGCAACAAAGAAAGAGAUCAAACCUGAAACCCGAAGCAUUUCUGUAAGAAGCCGAUACUUCAGAUCUUCUUUAUGCAUGAUAAUUAGCAGCUGCUAGCUUUAUGUAAUUCAUUUAGCUUCUUUAUAUCUAUGUCAAAAUCUAGGAGCAGCAUUUUGCUGAUAGUCUUGUUGAUCCUUCUUAUUCGAUAUUAGAAUUCUUUGAAAACUUUUGAAAUGAGAACAUCAUUCUUGGGUUCUUAUUAGCAUCUUCUAUUUUUGCACUGUCAGAUACAAUUUCGAUUGCACAUUCAUGAUGUACCUUUUCAUUUUGAAGUUCUAUGUUAUAUGUCAUUAUGGAAAUACUGAUUUUUCACUAGUUUUUUUGUACUUAGGCUUGCCAUGGAACUAUUAUCUUUAAGAGCAAGAAUUUAUGAGGAUGCAAAGAAGUCAUGGUUGCACAUAGAAUAGUAAAUUGAGUAAUAAAACAAAUCAAUGCAAUGAUGACAUUAGAAUAAAUGGUUGAUUAUGUAGCAUAAUAACUGAUUAUGUCAAUGCCAAUUUCUAUCCAAUUAUCAAUCCACAUAAGGAAUAUAAAAAAGAUAAUAAAUAAAAGUAAUUGCAACUAUGCUGCAGUGUAUCAGAAAAUCUAUAAUUUUCCAUUAUGCCCUGCAGGCUCCCCGAAAAAACACACUCACAACUGAGAGGCUGUCACAUAAAGAGGACAGCAAGGUUCAGACUACCGGAAAGAAAGGCAAAGUUGAUGCUGAUCUGGAAGAUCAUGAUAAGUCGAUUAAGCAACAGCCUGCUGUAAAGAAAACUUCAGUUUCCUCAUGUAAUCUAACCCCUGAAAGCUCAUCUACAUUUGUCCCCAGUAAUGUUUCUUGGGCAUCACUUCCAUCUUCUCUAGCAAAACUUGGAAAGGUACUGUUUGUGUCAUCAUGUACAAGCAUGCAGAAAAGCAUCUCUUUCCAUUUCUUUGUCCAUCGAUUCAAUUAUAUUCUUCUAUGUUAGCUCACGGUUAGGUUCUUUGAUCAAACAAAUAUAAUUUGACACAUAAGUGUAUCUAGAUCUUUUAUUGGCAUCUUUUCUUUUUGUUCUUUGUUUUCUUUGUUAACUUUGUGGUACUCAUUCUAGGAAGUACUGGAGUAUCGAGAUGCUGCACAACGAGCUGCUAUUGAGGCCUUGCAGGAAGCUUCUGCUGCAGAGACCCUGAUUCAGUGUAUGAGGUACAUGGCUUUCCAUGAAUAUAGGGCAUAAUCUAUCCUAGUAUCUUGAACUCUAUCGAACUUGCUUUUAGAAUUGGUUUAUGCUUUAAUCACAGUAAUUCAAAUUAGUUCGCGACUCAAUAAAUUGUCGAUCAUUUGUUCGGCUUUCCAGUCAUCUCUAAUUUCAAAUUUUGCUAUAUUCUUGGAGGUUAAUGCCUACCCCUAAGAGAUGUCCCAUUGCAAUUUGGGUUUCACAUGGCAUAACAUGGCCUGUAAGCAUAUCAUCGUAGAUAGCAUCUAAUAUUCUAAAAGGCAAUCAUGUAAUGCAGGUGAUUAAUGUGCAUAAAUCUGUUACAUAAAAGUAGGACAAAUCAAGAACUCUGAAAUAAAAAACUACACAAUUAAAAAAAAAGUCAAGGUGAUGAUUAUGGAUUAUUGUAUAGACGUAUGUGAUUAACAUACCAUCGUUGACUAUGUUUUAUUCCAUAAAAUUAAUAUGAAAUCAUGAGCUGCAUAUGCAAUGUAAUCCUUUCUUUCAGAAUCCUAGAUUUAUUAGAAUCCAUAAACUAUUUAUCUCUCUGCCCCAGAAUUGUCAUGCUUUUCUUUAAUUGUUUGUCCUUUUUGAGCAGAAACUGUGAAUAUCUAUUUGUUCUCGAGUUAUUCAAUGAACUGAAUGGCAGAGAAGGGUGUCAUGAACAUGCUGCUAUUUUACAUUUUAAAUACUAGUCAGAAGCUCAGAUUUAACUAACUUUCAUUAAUGUAAUUGAAGAGCAAAACAAUAUGUCAUGAUGUAGGCAUAACUCACUAAAACCUUUCUUUUUUACAAAGAGAGACAGAAAAUGAUUACAAGUAAUGCCCCCAUCAAUCGGAGCAAUCCUGUUGAGUCCAGCAAAACUCAUUUAAGACUACUAUAGUUUGAUAUACAUCAAGUAGAGUAGGUACUUUUUUAUGCCAAAUGAUACCACUAAUGCUGACAGUGCAAUGUUCAAGAGAAAGAUCCUUUUAGUUUGUAGAGAAGAUGGAGAACACCUUUGAUUGUUCUGAACAGUGGGCCUUCUUGACCAAACUUACUACUGUGUUGAUCACAGUAAGAUCCUGACUCUGACAAAUCUCUGCAUUAUUGGACUGAGUACCUAUGCUCUGACAUUACUGCCUCUUGUUUCUUGUUUCUUUUUACUUGAUAACAGUUUGAAUCAAAUUUGUUUAGCCACUCUGAUUAUAACAUCACAAAUCAAUAUUAGUGUAUGUGGAGAUACCAUGUCAACUCUGAAGUUAUUAGAAAAGUAUUUACUAUUUAGGAAGCUAAACUGCAAAGAAUCAAAGGUAGAUAAAAAUGGUCACUUGAUUCAAAAGUAAUUAGAAAGCUACUAGCCAAGUUUAGUAGUUGGCUAAAUGCAGUCUUUUGAGUAGUCAGAGAAGUCGAACAUCCUAAAAGGCCUGUGGACAUACAUAACCAAUACUAAUUGAAUUGCUAAAACUCAUGUGAAGUAAAUAGCACUACCAUGCCUCUGGUGCUAAUCUGGCACAAGAAAUUUGCCCAAAGGCUUGUUGAUGAGAUUUUGUCAUCAUAAAGCUUCAAAAACCACAGAAUUUUUCCUUUAACACUGUGUUGGAUGACAUUGAAGGGAGACACAAGAAUGUGCUUCUUAUGUCAGAAUAAAAUGUCAGUGACAGAUCUCCAACCCAUAUUUACUUUUCUCUCUUUCUCUCCCUCUCUCUCUUAGUAGAUGAAAUGUUCAUGAGAUGCUCUCUUUAGAAUCAUAGCAAUGCAAUAACUUGCAACAAAUGUUUCCAAUUAAUAAAUCUUCAGUACAGGAUUUGUAGUCUGAUUUGAAUUGUGUGGCAAAUUUUGUGUACCAAAUGUCAACUAAUAUGUAACUAUUAUGACAUUUGGCAUUUGGAACUUGAUAUCUAAUACAAGUGAAUAUAUGUAUAUUAGCAAGCAACCUCUACUUGCAGAGGAAUCAUAGAUAACAACAUUGAGAAAGUGAGAUUAAUCAAAUCAUAACCAUUAAUAACAAAUGCUUCCCAUUUUGGAAUCAUGUGAUCCUUUUUAUUUCAGAAUAUUUGUAUUUAUUAUAAUUCAAAAAAAUAUUUCUUUCCUCUCUUCUUUCAUGGUUUAAUUGUCUUACCUGUUUUGAGCAGCAUGUACGCCGAGUUACGAUCCUCCGCGGAGGAUGAUAACCCGCAACAGGCAGUGGAGCAGUUCUUCGCACUAUUCGGUACCCUCACCCGCGCCGGCCUCGUCGCUGACUCCCUCUUCAAACUCGCUGUAACCUCACCGACCGACCCGCUGGGUGGUGACCCGACCAUGGAGGAGGCUCUCCGCGUCUCCGGGGUCCACCGGAAGCUCGCCGCUGCUUGGAUCCACACCGCCAUCGCCACCGACCUCUCCGCGUUCUCCCUCUACGGCCCCGGCGCUUCUCCUUCGAAGCAUCGGGGGACAACGGUCUCGGUGGUCCUCGAAGCCCCGCGCAAACCCGCAUCCCCUUUAAAGCCCACGUCUUCCUCCACUUCGUCCGCCCCCACCGCCGUUUCUCAGAUCAAGCAGCGCUCCUCGGCUUCGAUCCAGAAGCCCCGGGCGCCUCCGCCGCUCCCCCCGCCGCGAGAGUGGGUGAGCGGGCAAGGCGUGGCGGAGGUGGCGGCGGUCGGGCGAGCGCUGAGGCGGGAGGUGAGGGGGUGGUUCCUAGGGUUCGUGGAGCGGUUCUUGGACGCCGACGCGGCGGCCGCGGACGGGCCACGCGACCGCGACCUGGUGGCGGGGACGCUGUCGCAGCUGAAGAGGGUGAACGACUGGCUAGACGGCGUCGGGGAGAGGGGCGGCGACGGGAUGGCGGAGGACGGCGGCGUUCCACCGGAGACGAUCGAGCGGUUGAGGAGGAAGAUCUUCGACUACCUCAUCGCGCACGUCGAGUCGGCCGCCGUGGCGCUGGGCGGUGGCCGACAUGGCGUGCCGGCGUCGUCGUCAUCGCGCACCUCGUCCGUGCACGAAUCACGGAGCGCGAACAGGUACUAAAUUGCAACGGGUCACGUGGAGCGAUGCUAAGCAAUCUUAAUUCGUCUUUGGUGUCUGAAGGCCGUCAGCUGAUACAAUCACUGGAGGGCAAGUGGCCGUCCACAAUAUGAAGAUAUGUAUAUUUUGUUGCUCAAUAUCCUAUUUAUUUUCCACCCCAAAAAAUAUAUUAGAUAUUAUUAACACUCUUCCGACAUCCACCUGUAUAGCUCACAAAUAAGAUUGGUUUUUUGAGAGAGUUGAUGAUGACAAAAAAAUGUAUCUGAAUGAACGAAUUGUAGCCAAAGAUUCUGAUCAUAUUAAAUAUUAUUAUUAUUAUGCUCGUGUCUUCCUAUGUUAGUCUAUAAUUAUGUAUAUGCUGAAAUAAAUAAAACCGUAUUUAAAGUUCGAU